RNAcentral lists this ribosomal RNA (962 nucleotides) under uncultured fungus. Its description in RNAcentral is "eukaryotic LSU rRNA". The stretch from base 320 to 962 matches the Rfam family "Eukaryotic large subunit ribosomal RNA", at positions 1 to 664 of the family's 3401-position model. Lineage: Eukaryota; Fungi. The record is from RNAcentral.
AUCGAUGAAGAACGCAGCGAAAUGCGAUAAGUAAUGUGAAUUGCAGAAUUCAGUGAAUCAUCGAAUCUUUGAACGCACCUUGCGCCCUCUGGUAUUCCGGAGGGCACGCCUGUUUGAGUGUCGUGAACUCCUCCACCCUUUCGCUUCGUUGCGGCCGGGCUGGGAAUUGGGGGCUUUUUGCGGGUCUUGACGAUCCGCUCCCCUUGAAUGCAUUAGCGAAGUUCCGAAAGGUCCUCGACGUGAUAAUUAUCUACGCCGUGGGUCGAUCGACCAUGGACCCAGCUUCCAACCGUCUUCGGACAACACACACACACGAUCUUGACCUCAGAUCAGGCGGGACUACCCGCUGAACUUAAGCAUAUCAAUAAGCGGAGGAAAAGAAACUAACAAGGAUUCCCCUAGUAACUGCGAGUGAAGCGGGAAGAGCUCAAAUUUAAAAUCUGGCGGCUUCGUCGUCCGAGUUGUAAUUUAGAGAAGCGUUUUCCGCGCCGGACCGUGUACAAGUCUCCUGGAACGGAGCGUCGUAGAGGGUGAGAAUCCCGUCUUUGACACGGACCGCCGGUGCUAUGUGAUACGCUCUCGAAGAGUCGAGUUGUUUGGGAAUGCAGCUCAAAACGGGUGGUGAACUCCAUCUAAAGCUAAAUAUUGGCGAGAGACCGAUAGCGAACAAGUACCGUGAGGGAAAGAUGAAAAGCACUUUGGAAAGAGAGUGAAACAGUACGUGAAAUUGCUGAAAGGGAAACGCUUGAAGUCAGUCGCGUCCUUCGGAGUUCAGCCUUUCUGGUGUACUCUCCGUCGGACGGGCCAGCAUCAUUUUCCGUCGCCGGAAAAGGAUUCGGGGAAUGUGGCACCUUCGGGUGUGUUAUAGCCCCGGGUCGUAUACGGCGGUGGGGAGUGAGGACCGCCUAUUAUUUUGUAGGAUGCUGGCGUAAUGGCUUUAAACGACCCGUCUUGAAACACGG